GGACGGUGAGGGUGAUCUGGCUGCGACAUCUGCCACCCCAUCGAUUGCCAGGGUUGAUUCGGCUGAUCUGGCUGGCUAGGCGGAUGUCCCUUUCCUCCUGCACCAUUCCAUGUGUGUCCCUCCCAAUGCCAUGCGUUUAGUGGAAGAGGAUGACCAUCCCAGGUAGCAGGAGUGUACCAUUCUUCGGUCAAGGGUAUACAAUAGCUGCGCUCCCCUGCUAGAACCUCCAACAAGCUCUUUUAUUUCAAAAAUAUUCUAUUAUAUAUAAUAUGCACCAGUUUAAAGGUUGUUUUCCCCACAACAGUUCUGUUUCU
Molecule: non-coding RNA, 314 nt
Organism: Podarcis lilfordi (Lilford's wall lizard)
Lineage: Eukaryota; Metazoa; Chordata; Lepidosauria; Squamata; Lacertidae
Source: the annotation of a GenBank genome assembly